AUUGAACGCUGGCGGCAGGCUUAACACAUGCAAGUCGAACGAGUGGCGGACGGGUGAGUAAUGUCUGGGAAUCUGGCUGAUGGAGGGGGAUAACUACUGGAAACUGUAGCUAAUACCGCGUACCAUCGGAUGUGCCCAAGUGGGAUUAGCUAGUUGGUGGGGUAAAGGCUCACCAAGGCGACGAUCCCUAGCUGGUCUGAGAGGAUGACCAGCCACACUGGGACUGAGACACGGCCCAGACUCCUACGGGAGGCAGCAGUGGGGAAUAUUGCACAAUGGGGGCAACCCUGAUGCAGCCAUGCCGCGUGAAUGAAGAAGGCCUUCGGGUUGUAAAGUACUUUCGGUAGCGAGGCGUUAACCGCAGAAGAAGCACCGGCUAACUCCGUGCCAGCAGCCGCGGUAAUAC
This 406-nucleotide ribosomal RNA is filed under the name uncultured bacterium. Its description in RNAcentral is "partial 16S ribosomal RNA". It matches the Rfam family "Bacterial small subunit ribosomal RNA", at positions 30 to 526 of the family's 1533-position model. The record is from RNAcentral.